RNAcentral lists this ribosomal RNA (236 nucleotides) under Pseudomonas sp. faro5_7A. RNAcentral describes it as "partial 16S ribosomal RNA". It matches the Rfam family "Bacterial small subunit ribosomal RNA", at positions 87 to 325 of the family's 1533-position model. Lineage: Bacteria; Pseudomonadati; Pseudomonadota; Gammaproteobacteria; Pseudomonadales; Pseudomonadaceae. The record is from RNAcentral.
CUUGAUUAGCGGCGGACGGGUGAGUAAUGCCUAGGAAUCUGCCUGGUAGUGGGGGACAACUUUUCGAAAGGAACGCUAAUACCGCAUACGUCCUACGGGAGAAAGCAGGGGACCUUCGGGCCUUGCGCGGGUCAGAUGAGCCUAGGUCGGAUUAGCUAGUUGGAGGGGUAAUGGCUCACCAAGGCGACGAUCCGUAACUGGUCUGAGAGGAUGAUCAGUCACACUGGAACUGACAC